GAUGAACGCUGGCGGCGUGCCUAAUACAUGCAAGUCGAGCGAACGGACGAGAAGCUUGCUUCUCUGAUGUUAGCGGCGGACGGGUGAGUAACACGUGGAUAACCUACCUAUAAGACUGGGAUAACUUCGGGAAACCGGAGCUAAUACCGGAUAAUAUUUUGAACCGCAUGGUUCAAAAGUAAAAGACGGUCUUGCUGUCACUUAUAGAUGGAUCCGCGCUGCAUUAGCUAGUUGGUAAGGUAACGGCUUACCAAGGCAACGAUGCAUAUCCGACCUGAGAGGGUGAUCGGCCACACUGGAACUGAGACACGGUCCAGACUCCUACGGGAGGCAGCAGUAGGGAAUCUUCCGCAAUGGGCGAAAGCCUGACGGAGCAACGCCGCGUGAGUGAUGAAGGUCUUCGGAUCGUAAAACUCUGUUAUUAGGGAAGAACAUAUGUGUAAGUAACUGUGCACAUCUUGACGGUACCUAAUCAGAAAGCCACGGCUAACUACGUG
Molecule: ribosomal RNA, 497 nt
Filed under: uncultured bacterium
Lineage: Bacteria
Description: partial 16S ribosomal RNA
Rfam family: Bacterial small subunit ribosomal RNA
Source: RNAcentral